RNAcentral lists this ribosomal RNA (581 nucleotides) under Terrimonas sp. StRD472. RNAcentral's name for it is "bacterial SSU rRNA". It matches the Rfam family "Bacterial small subunit ribosomal RNA", at positions 102 to 681 of the family's 1533-position model. Lineage: Bacteria; Pseudomonadati; Bacteroidota; Chitinophagia; Chitinophagales; Chitinophagaceae. The record is from RNAcentral.
ACGGGUGCGGAACACGUACAGAACCUUCCUUCAAGCGGGGCAUAGCCCGGCGAAAGCCGGAUUAAUACCCCAUAGUAAAAUGGAGUGGCAUCACUUUAUUUUUAAAGAUUUAUCACUUGAAGAUGGCUGUGCGGCUGAUUAGGUAGUUGGCGGGGUAACGGCCCACCAAGCCUUCGAUCAGUAACUGGUGUGAGAGCACGACCAGUCACACGGGCACUGAGACACGGGCCCGACUCCUACGGGAGGCAGCAGUAAGGAAUAUUGGUCAAUGGACGCAAGUCUGAACCAGCCAUGCCGCGUGGAGGAUGAAGGCCCUCUGGGUUGUAAACUUCUUUUAUAUGGGACGAAAAUGGGCCUUUCUAGGUCAACUGACGGUACCAUUUGAAUAAGCACCGGCUAACUCCGUGCCAGCAGCCGCGGUAAUACGGAGGGUGCAAGCGUUAUCCGGAUUCACUGGGUUUAAAGGGUGCGUAGGUGGGUCAGUAAGUCAGUGGUGAAAUCUCUGGGCUCAACCCGGAAACUGCCAUUGAUACUAUUGGUCUUGAAUAUUGUGGAGGUUAGCGGAAUAUGUCAUGUAGCGG